This is an unclassified non-coding RNA of Fukomys damarensis (Damara mole-rat), 265 nucleotides long. Its record names the gene 7SK. It matches the Rfam family "7SK RNA". Rfam says of the family: 7SK was discovered as an abundant small nuclear RNA in the mid-70s but a possible function has only recently been suggested. Two independent studies have found that 7SK RNA binds the CDK9/cyclin T complex (known as elongation factor P-TEFb). Lineage: Eukaryota; Metazoa; Chordata; Mammalia; Rodentia; Bathyergidae. The record is from Ensembl.
GGAUAUGAGGGCAAUCUAGCCGCGACAUGUCACCCCACUAAUCACCAGCAUUGAUCUGAUUAUCUGGCUAGGCCAGUCUCCCCUUCCUCCCUCAUGGCUCCAUGUAUAUUCCUCCUGAAGCUUUGGGCUCAAAGCAGACAACUUUCCCAGAUAAGAGUACUGUUCUUCAGUCAAGGGUACAUGAGUAGCUGUGCUCCCCUGCUAGUACCUCCAAACAAGCUCUAAGGUCAAUGGUUACCACCCAAGUUCAUUACCCAAGUCCCUU